GAAGACCCUAUUGAGCUUGACUCUAGUUUGUAUUUGUGACGUGAUAUUAAGGGUGUAGCAUAAGUGGGAGCCGCAAGGCGACAGUGAAAUACCACUACCGUAAUCAUUGCUUUACUAAGGAGAUGAUAAUAUUGGUAAACAGUGCGAGCUGUUUAUGUUGAUAAGAUCUGUAGCAGUAGAGAUGAAGUGUCUGGUGAUGUUUAUAGGUACAUCGGGUGUUUAUGGGAUGUCGGUGGUAGGGAGCAGCAAUGCUUUCAAUCAUCUUGAUAGCCCGCUCCCGGUGUUUCCUGUACGAUAGCUAGAUGCCUCUCUCUUUACUGAUUCAAUAUAUUCUUCGACAGUUUCAGAUGGGGAGUUUGGCUGGGGCGGCACAUUUGUGAAAUGAUAGCGCAAGUGUCCAAAGGUGUACUCAAAAAGGACAGAAACCUUUGUAGAGGAAAAGGCUAAACAGUACACUUGAUUGUGAUGUUCAGUACAUAUGACAACUAU
This 489-nucleotide ribosomal RNA is filed under the name uncultured eukaryote. Its description in RNAcentral is "partial 28S ribosomal RNA". It matches the Rfam family "Eukaryotic large subunit ribosomal RNA", at positions 2406 to 2753 of the family's 3401-position model. The record is from RNAcentral.